This 499-nucleotide ribosomal RNA is filed under the name uncultured bacterium. RNAcentral's name for it is "bacterial SSU rRNA". It matches the Rfam family "Bacterial small subunit ribosomal RNA", at positions 791 to 1288 of the family's 1533-position model. The record is from RNAcentral.
UAGUCCACGCCCUAAACGAUGAGUGCUAGAUGUCGGGGCCUUGAGCUUCGGUGUCGUAGCUAACGCGUUAAGCACUCCGCCUGGGGAGUACGGCCGCAAGGUUAAAACUCAAAGGAAUUGACGGGGACCCGCACAAGCGGUGGAGCAUGUGGUUUAAUUCGAGGCAACGCGAAGAACCUUACCAGUCCUUGACAUCCUGAUCGCGGGUUUAUGAGAAUAGACCCUUCGGUUCGGCCGGAUCAGUGACAGGUGCUGCAUGGCUGUCGUCAGCUCGUGUCGUGAGAUGUUGGGUUAAGUCCCGCAACGAGCGCAACCCUCACCCUGUGUUACCAGCGGAUCAUGCCGGGGACUCUCAGGGAACUGCCCGUGAUAAGCGGGAGGAAGGCGGGGAUGACGUCAAGUCAGCACGGCCCUUAUGGACUGGGCUACACACGUGCUACAAUGGUGACUACAGUGGGCAGCGACAUGGUGACAUGAAGCUAAUCUCCAAAAGUCAUCU